Molecule: ribosomal RNA, 502 nt
Filed under: uncultured bacterium
Lineage: Bacteria
Description: partial 16S ribosomal RNA
Rfam family: Bacterial small subunit ribosomal RNA
Source: RNAcentral
AUUGAACGCUGGCGGCAUGCCUUACACAUGCAAGUCGAACGGCAGCAUAGGAGCUUGCUCCUGAUGGCGAGUGGCGAACGGGUGAGUAAUAUAUCGGAACGUGCCCUAGAGUGGGGGAUAACUAGUCGAAAGACUAGCUAAUACCGCAUACGAUCUACGGAUGAAAGUGGGGGAUCGCAAGACCUCAUGCUCCUGGAGCGGCCGAUAUCUGAUUAGCUAGCUGGCGGGGUAAAAGCCUACCAAGGCGACGAUCAGUAGCUGGUCUGAGAGGACGACCAGCCACACUGGGACUGAGACACGGCCCAGACUCCUACGGGAGGCAGCAGUGGGGAAUUUUGGACAAUGGGGGCAACCCUGAUCCAGCAAUGCCGCGUGAGUGAAGAAGGCCUUCGGGUUGUAAAGCUCUUUUGUCAGGGAAGAAACGGUAGUAGCUAAUAUCUAUUACUAAUGACGGUACCUGAAGGAUAAGCACCGGCUAACUACGUGCCAGCAGCCGCCGUAA